AAGUCGUAACAAGGUUUCCGUAGGUGGCAAGUUUGCCUAUCGAAAGCCCUCGCAGCGACUCUAAAUAACUGCCCGAGUCUACCCCUUACCAGGGGCGGGCAACGCUAUCAGUCUGCGCUGGAAGCUCCUCUCGUCAGAGGGCCAACCAGCAGCUUCAGGGAGCCCCUGAAGUCCACAGAUCAAACGAUAGCGGCCACAAUGUGGUUUAGAUAUGACCGGCCCCAACCGCUAAGCGGAUGGAGAAAUUUUUGCGGAACCUGCGGAAGGAUCAUUACUGAGAGAGGGGCUUCGCGCUCCCGGGGGUUCCGGCCCCUACCUCUUCACCCAUUGUUUAUCUACCUUUGUUGCUUUGGCGGGCUUUGGGGUUCGCCUCACGCCGGACUUCGGACUGGUGAGCGCCCGCCAGAGGCCCAUUAAAUUCCGUUUAUGCAGUAUUGUCAGAACAAAAAUUACUAUAGUAAAAACUUUCAACAACGGAUCUCUUGGUUCCAGCAUCGAUGAAGAACGCAGCGAAAUGCGAUAAGUAAUGUGAAUUGCAGAAUUCAGUGAAUCAUCGAAUCUUUGAACGCACAUUGCGCCCCUCGGUAUUCCGGGGGGCAUGCCUGUUCGAGCGUCAUUACACCCCUCAAGCGUAGCUUGGUAUUGGGUCCUCGCCCCCCGGGGCGUGCCCGAAAAGCAGUGGCGGCUCGGUGUGACUUUAAGCGUAGUAAAUUUUCAUCCCGCUUUGAAAGUUCGCCCCGUGGCUUGCCAGACAACCCCAUUUAUUUCAAUGAUUGACCUCGGAUC
This 786-nucleotide ribosomal RNA is filed under the name Hypogymnia physodes. RNAcentral describes it as "eukaryotic LSU rRNA". The stretch from base 463 to 616 matches the Rfam family "5.8S ribosomal RNA". The record is from RNAcentral. Lineage: Eukaryota; Fungi; Ascomycota; Lecanoromycetes; Lecanorales; Parmeliaceae.